RNAcentral lists this ribosomal RNA (1257 nucleotides) under Gyrocotyle sp. Tasmania. RNAcentral describes it as "eukaryotic LSU rRNA". It matches the Rfam family "Eukaryotic large subunit ribosomal RNA", at positions 53 to 774 of the family's 3401-position model. Lineage: Eukaryota; Metazoa; Platyhelminthes; Cestoda; Gyrocotylidea; Gyrocotylidae. The record is from RNAcentral.
GGAGAAAAGAAACUAACCAGGAUUCCCCUAGUAACGGCGAGUGAAGAGGGAAUAGCCCAGCACCGAAGCCUGUGGCAGUUUUGCUGCAAGGCAAUGUGGUGUUUAGGUCAAUUUAUGGACAUGCCACUCCAUUCGAAGUCCAGCACUGAGUAUGGUUCCAAUGGACUUGGCCCAGAGAGGGUGAAAGGCCCGUGCGGAUGGAGGUAUCAGGUAUGAUGGUGUGUCCCCGAGUUGACCUUGGAGUCGGGUUGUUUGAGAUUGCAGCCCAAAGCGGGUGGUAAACUCCAUCCAAGGCUAAAUACUAGCACGAGUCCGAUAGCGAACAAGUACCGUGAGGGAAAGUUGAAAAGUACUUUGAAGAGAGAGUAAACAGUACGUGAAACCGCAUAGAGGUAAACGGGUGGCGUCAAGCUGCAAGCCCGGAGGAUUCAAUUGGUCAGUGUUUGUGCUCGUGUGCUUGGGCACGCCAGUCAACUUGGAGGGUCGUCACCAGUAUUGGUGUGCUGGUUGGUUUACGCCUGCCGGUAUUCUGUUGCAUGGUAUGUGGCAGAGGCUCACACCGAGUGUUGUAAUUGGACUGACUGGCCAAUGCACUUCCUCCGUGGUGGACACCACGACCGGCGGAACUGUCAGUCUGCCUUGACCAGACAGGUUGUUGCGUAGCUGUGUAAAUGGUUGCGUGCUCCUGUUAUUCACGGGCAUUUUGGUGUGGAGUGUGGUGGGUGUCAAUCCCGCUGCUGCUCUCACUGGGUGCAAGCAGGCUUGUUGCUCUCCCUCUUUUCGGAGGGUGGGGGUGGCUUGUCUGGUGGGUCUUGGUGGUGUGUAUAACUGUACAGGGCGCCGGAGUUGACGGUCAAAUUUGCUCUACGGGGCGUACGAUGCGUAUGGUCAUGUGGUUGGCUGUUGAUCGCCGUGUCGCUUGUGCAAACAAGCCCGGUGGUGGUUAACCCUUGUGCUGUGCGUAGUGUAUGUAUGUGCGCUGGUAGAGUGGUAUACCAAUUUUUUUGGUAUGCCUGAAGGACCUACAUAGUCUGUGGUGCUGUGGUAGACCAGCCACCUGACCCGUCUUGAAACACGGACCAAGGAGUUUAACAUGCGCGCGAGUCAUUGGGCUCUACGAAACCCAAAGGCGUAGUGAAAGUGAAGGCCUGAAAUUUUUUAAAUUUUGGGUUACGGUGAGAUCCCGUUGUGUGUUUGCUCCUCGUGCAUUGGCAGUACCAAGCAUGGAGCAGCGGGCGCAUCACCGGCCCGUCCCAU